AAGUUUCCAAGGGCGCAUGGUGGAUGCCUUGGCAACAGGAGCCGAAGAAGGACGUGGGAAUCUGCGAUAAGCCUGGUGGAGUCGAUAACCGGACGUUGAGACCAGGAUUUCCGAAUGGGGAAACCCCGCACGACGUGUCGUGUGACCCCCGGUUGAACACAUAGACCGGGUGGAGGGAACGUGGGGAAGUGAAACAUCUCAGUACCCACAGGAAGAGAAAACAAAAGUGAUUCCGUUAGUAGUGGCGAGCGAACGCGGAUGGGGCUAAACCGUAUGUGUGUGAUACCCGGCAGGGGUUGCAUGUGCGGUGUUGUGGGCCCCUCCUUGUCAUGUCUGCCGGCAUGGCGCAGUGAGGUGCGGGCAUAUAGACGAACCAGUGUGGAUGCUGGACCGUAGAGGGUGAGAGUCCCGUAGUCGAAAUGUGUUCCGCCGCUGUUGGAGGGUUGCCCGAGUAGCACGGGGCCCGAGGAAUCCCGUGUGAAUCUGCCAGGACCACCUGGUAAGCCUGAAUACUACCUGUUGACCGAUAGCGGAUCAGUACCGUGAGGGAAUGGUGAAAAGUACCCCGGGAGGGGAGUGAAAUAGUACCUGAAACCGUGUGCCUACAAGCCGUGGGAGC
This 619-nucleotide ribosomal RNA is filed under the name Ditylum brightwellii. RNAcentral's name for it is "partial Bacterial large subunit ribosomal RNA". It matches the Rfam family "Bacterial large subunit ribosomal RNA", at positions 1 to 580 of the family's 2925-position model. The record is from RNAcentral. Lineage: Eukaryota; Bacillariophyta; Thalassiosirophyceae; Lithodesmiales; Lithodesmiaceae.